CAGUAGCCGCGGUAAUACGAAGGGGGCUAGCGUUGUUCGGAAUUACUGGGCGUAAAGCGCACGUAGGCGGAUAUUUAAGUCAGGGGUGAAAUCCCAGAGCUCAACUCUGGAACUGCCUUUGAUACUGGGUAUCUUGGGUAUGGAAGAGGUGAGUGGAAUUCCGAGUGUAGAGGUGAAAUUCGUAGAUAUUCGGAGGAACACCAGUGGCGAAGGCGGCUCACUGGUCCAUUACUGACGCUGAGGUGCGAAAGCUAGGGGAGCAAACAGGAUUAGAUACCCCCGUAGUCCCUGUCUCUUAUAC
Molecule: ribosomal RNA, 301 nt
Filed under: uncultured bacterium
Lineage: Bacteria
Description: partial 16S ribosomal RNA
Rfam family: Bacterial small subunit ribosomal RNA
Source: RNAcentral